RNAcentral lists this ribosomal RNA (468 nucleotides) under uncultured bacterium. Its description in RNAcentral is "partial 16S ribosomal RNA". It matches the Rfam family "Bacterial small subunit ribosomal RNA", at positions 28 to 507 of the family's 1533-position model. The record is from RNAcentral.
GACGAACGCUGGCGGCGUGCUUAACACAUGCAAGUCGAACGGAAAGGCCCUGCUUUUGUGGGGUGCUCGAUUGGCGAACGGGUGAGUAACACGUGAGUAACCUGCCCUUGACUUUGGGAUAACUUCAGGAAACUGGGGCUAAUACCGGAUAGGAUCUCCUGCUGCAUGUUGGGGGUUGGAAAGUUUCGGCGGUUGGGGAUGGACUCGCGGCUUAUCAGCUUGUUGGUGGGGUAGUGGCUUACCAAGGCUUUGACGGGUAGCCGGCCUGAGAGGGUGACCGGCCACAUUGGGACUGAGAUACGGCCCAGAAUCCUACGGGAGGCAGAAGUGGGGAAUAUUGCACAAUGGGCGGAAGCCUGAUGCAGCAACGCCGCGUGCGGGAUGACGGCCUUCGGGUUGUAAACCGCUUUCGCCUGUGACGAAGCGUGAGUGACGGUAAUGGGUAAAGAAGCACCGGCUAACUACGUG